Molecule: long non-coding RNA, 608 nt
Filed under: Musa acuminata (dwarf banana)
Lineage: Eukaryota; Viridiplantae; Streptophyta; Magnoliopsida; Zingiberales; Musaceae
Description: long non-coding RNA (MACU_LNC000216)
Source: RNAcentral
UUUUUCCUUGAAUUUUCUGGUAGAGAAGAAGCUACUAAAUUUCUUAUUUCAUGAAUUGGAUGAAUUUAUUGCUUGAAGCAUGAAGUAUAACUUUAGUGGUUUCUAAUGGUUUCUUGGGAUGGUCUUUAUCAAUGUUUCUUCAAAACACAAAAGAAAACAAAACUCAGUGCCUUGAGCUUAGUUUUCUCUAAUUUAUUUCCUAAAAGAAGAACAGAAGCAAGAUCAAGAUGCCCCAUUAAAAAAAAGAAAAAAAUCUGUCUCCUACACUGUUUGUACCUGACAGUCAUUGCAGUAAAUUAAUGAAGCUGAUCAUCCUCCACACAGCACAUGAACAACACUUGAGAAAUCUUCAAGGAGCCCUCUUUGUCUCCUCAGCCUACUGAUCCACAGCUUGUUUUACUGCCAAGCUUCCAGGCCUGUGCAACAUCACUUUGUCAGUGUGCUUCCACAUGGAGCCAAAUGCCACUGGCCAAUUUUUGAACCCAACAGAACUAUGUCAGCAGCAUCUGCUUACCAUGAGAUCUCCACUAUGAAAACAUUAGCUGCACACUGGUUUUGAAGAACUAGUGCAGUAUGUAAUUGACAGUGCAGAGACAAUUAUAUAUUAC